This 253-nucleotide ribosomal RNA is filed under the name uncultured bacterium. Its description in RNAcentral is "partial 16S ribosomal RNA". It matches the Rfam family "Bacterial small subunit ribosomal RNA", at positions 524 to 776 of the family's 1533-position model. The record is from RNAcentral.
UACAGAGGGGGCAAGCGUUGUCCGGAAUUACUGGGCGUACAGCGCGCGCAGGCGGUCGUUCAAGUCGCGUGUGAAAGCCCCCGGCUCAACUGGGGAGGGUCACGCGAUACUGAUCGACUCGAAGGCAGGAGAGGGUAGUGGAAUUCCCGGUGUAGUGGUGAAAUGCGUAGAUAUCGGGAGGAACACCAGUGGCGAAGGCGACUACCCGGCCUGUUCUUGACGCUGAGGCGCGAAAGCUAGGGGAGCAAACGGG